This is a long non-coding RNA of Numida meleagris (helmeted guineafowl), 639 nucleotides long. RefSeq lists it as uncharacterized. The transcript has 4 exons. NCBI's taxonomy places the organism in Eukaryota, Metazoa, Chordata, Aves, Galliformes, Numididae. The record is from RefSeq and is a predicted model, not a curated record.
AAUUUACACAUCCACUGUCGGAAUGUGCUACAGAAAAGCCUCAAUGGAUUUCUAGCGCCAGUGCUUUCCUGCAAGUGGCAUGUGAGGACAGGUGAGAAGAUAACACAGUGCUGCAAGCAUUGACGGAUCCUCUGAUGACAGGACAGAUUGGUCAUGCUACAGAGCUAGGAAGAUCCAAAAGAAGAAAGUAGAAUGGAAUUAGGAGAUGUGCUGAAAUAUGAAGUCAGCAUUAUCAAGUAAUGUGAAGUUAACUGCACUAAGAAGGAGCUCUGAGACUGCCACCAGCUCUGGCUUCAGCUGUGAAGACUACUCUACAUUUUCAGAAAUCAGCUACUCAUCUGUUCUCAUGAACUGGUCCUGAAAACUUUCAUUCACAUGAAGAGCUGUACUGAUUUGUGGUCCUUUGAUAAAGACCAGAGUUGGUAGCAGAAACCAGUGAUUGGGAUAGCACUGUUGUAAUAACUCAUAAAUUAAUGAACUACCAGAAAGAGCAGGAUACGCUCUUUUCAUUAUUUAUUUUUUAAUCUUGUAUAGAAAUCAGUGAAAAUAAGGCAGUUUGGACUUGUAAUAUUUUUAUGUAGAUAAUUUAUACUCUGUACCUGAAAUAACUUUGUUUUAUUUGCAGAAACUCAUCAGUGU